Molecule: non-coding RNA, 1000 nt
Organism: Microcebus murinus (gray mouse lemur)
Lineage: Eukaryota; Metazoa; Chordata; Mammalia; Primates; Cheirogaleidae
Source: RefSeq, a predicted model, not a curated record
GCUACUUGGGAGCAAGACAAAAGGAAAAAGGAAAGGAAAAAAGGAAGGAAAAAUGAAAAGAAAGGAAAGGGAGAGACCACAUCCCUGUGUUCUAUAACUCACGCAAUAUUUGUCUCAUUACAGCAGGACCCUGUGCUAGGUUGUGUGUUCAGCAAAUAAAGCCCCAAGACAAGAAAUAAGCUGGCUGGUGUGGACGUAGGUAUGGAAGAAGGUCAGGUGGCUGCCAGAGUUCAGGGGAGUAGAAGAGUAGAGGCCUUGGUGCCAAGGGUGCUCGAGAAAACCAGUGAGAUCAGCCUUGAGCUACCACGCUAGAUUUAACUGCAGAGACAGGAGAAAGCAUGGGAGUGGGGACAUGGGAGCAGGGACAGAAGAAGAUGGGCAUUAAGAUAACAGCAGGUGGCAUAAAUCAGAACACUCCUAAAGGGCCCUGCCCUUGCUGUUUCCACUGCCUGAAAUGCUCCUCUCCCUGAAUUAGGCAUGUUUGGCACUUUACCUUCCUGCCCACCUCCUCCAUGAAGCCCUCUGUGAGCACGUGGUAUGAAAUAGCUGCCAGUCUCUCCAUCAUGCUGUUUCAUUUCUCUGCCCAGCACUCAUCAUCCCGUUAUUUUCUUGUUUGUCUCUUUGCUAGUUUACUCUCUGUCUCUCCCAAGGAUAUAAGCUCUCUGCAAGCAGAGAUCUGCCCACCUUGCAAGGCAGAAUCUGGAACUGCCUGGUACACAGUGAAUUGAAGAAGAGAGAGAGGGACUGAAUCUGGUAACGACUCACUUGACAUUGAAGGAAGGCUCAGCGACAUCAAGAGACCUUGUGCCUUGUGUUGUUCAAAUAAAGAUACUGAGCAGUUUGAACAGGGAAAAGCAGCAGAAAAACCAGCUUCUCACGCAGUUGCCAGUGCCUGCCAGGCAGUGGCAAUCUGUACUGUGUUGUUGUAUGAAGAGUGAUUUUGUUUCAGCAAAAUAACAUCAACUGUUAAAGUUAAUUAAAGUUGUUAACCUGCCUUUUA